Molecule: ribosomal RNA, 301 nt
Filed under: uncultured bacterium
Lineage: Bacteria
Description: partial 16S ribosomal RNA
Rfam family: Bacterial small subunit ribosomal RNA
Source: RNAcentral
CAGUCGCCGCGGUAAUACGUAGGGUGCAAGCGUUAAUCGGAAUUACUGGGCGUAAAGCGUGCGCAGGCGGUUUGUUAAGACAGAUGUGAAAUCCCCGGGCUUAACCUGGGAACUGCAUUUGUGACUGGCAAGCUAGAGUAUGGCAGAGGGGGGUGGAAUUCCACGUGUAGCAGUGAAAUGCGUAGAGAUGUGGAGGAACACCGAUGGCGAAGGCAGCCUCCUGGGCCAAUACUGACGCUCAUGCACGAAAGCGUGGGGAGCAAACAGGAUUAGAUACCCCUGUAGUCCCUGUCUCUUAUAC